This 477-nucleotide long non-coding RNA is filed under the name Trifolium pratense (red clover). RNAcentral describes it as "long non-coding RNA (TPRA_LNC012358)". The record is from RNAcentral. Lineage: Eukaryota; Viridiplantae; Streptophyta; Magnoliopsida; Fabales; Fabaceae.
ACAUGGCAUGAACUGAAGCUUAAUUUGCAAACAUAAGCACAUAUCCAUCAAUUCAAUUAUCACAAAUUUAUAUGUACAACCGACGCACGAAAUUAUUUAUUUACUUUUUAUAAGGCUGAUUCCAUUGGUUCAUUUUAAGUGGCAAAAGUUCUACUAUUAUUUCACAACAUAUUCCUACGUAGCAUGAGUUUAUGGGGAAAAAGCCCUUACCUUGGACGCUUUCCUUCCAAACACAAUACUCUAAGUCUAAAUUCAUAGCCAUAUAAUGCACAUGCGAUAUAUCUCACUCCAGAAUUCGCUUCGACGAUCUGACGGUUGAAGAGAAAGCACCAUGUAUUGCGAACAUGUUGAAAUUGGACAAAACGACAUGUGUUUGAAAAGGAUCGAUGGACUUUGAAUAAAUAUGAUGUUCAUGUGUUAGCAAAGCAAAUUAGAUAGUAAUGGUUGAGUAUGUCAUUUAGGCUGAACAUAGGAGUA